GAGCAGAAGGGACGUGAGAUCAACAGAGGGACGUGAGAUCAGAAGGAGCAGAGUAGGAAAGAAAUAAGGAGAGGACAGAAAAAAAAAAAAAAGAAAAAAAUAAAAAAUAAAAAACAGAGCAGAAGGGACGUGAGAUCAACAGAGGGACGUGAGAUCAGAAGGAGCAGAGUAGGAAAGAAAUAAGGAGAGGACAGAAAAAAGUGCAACGUGAGAUCAACAGAGGAGAGCAGAGGAGAGCAACGUGAGAUCGACAGUGGAGAGGGAGAGAAAAAAAAAAAAAAAAAAAACGUGAGAGAGAUCGAAGCAGCGCAACAGGAAAGGAAAAAAAAAAGGAUCUGAGAGAGAGAUCGAACAGAGGUGGAGACUGGAGAGGGAGAAAAAAAAAAA
This 387-nucleotide unclassified non-coding RNA is filed under the name Hevea brasiliensis (rubber tree). Lineage: Eukaryota; Viridiplantae; Streptophyta; Magnoliopsida; Malpighiales; Euphorbiaceae. The record is from RNAcentral.